CAAUAGCGUAUAUUUAAGUUGCUGCAGUUAAAAAGCUCGUAGUUGGAUUUCGGGUGGGAAUGGCCGGUCCGCAGUUUCGGUGUGCACUUGCUACGCCCACCUUGCUGCCGGGGACGUGCUCUUGAGUUCACGCUCGGGACACGGAGUCGGCGAGGUUACUUUGAGUAAAUUAGAGUGUUCAAAGCAGGCCUACGCUCUGAAUACAUUAGCAUGGAAUAACACGAUAGGACUCUGGCCUAUCUUGUUGGUCUGUAGGACCGGAGUAAUGAUUAAGAGGGACAGUCGGGGGCAUUCGUAUUUCAUUGUCAGAGGUGAAAUUCUUGGAUUUAUGAAAGACGAACUACUGCGAAAGCAUUUGCCAAGGAUGUUUUCAUUAA
This 377-nucleotide ribosomal RNA is filed under the name uncultured eukaryote. Its description in RNAcentral is "partial 18S ribosomal RNA". It matches the Rfam family "Eukaryotic small subunit ribosomal RNA", at positions 592 to 976 of the family's 1831-position model. The record is from RNAcentral.